UUCGAGAAGCAGUGGCGCGGUGGUUACCACACUGCCCUUCGAACCCGGCCACCCGAGUUCUGUCAACAUCCGUGACGGAACAUCUCAACCUGUCCUUGGCCUCCUCUGGAUCGACUGAGCUGUUCGCGGAGCGCCGAACUGCUGCGAUAAGCCCGAGUCUCAAGACCUAUUCCAAGAGGAUCCUGCCCACAUUUGGGGACGCUUGGCCGUGAAUUCCCGUGAGCGACGAGGGCUUCGCUUCGUGGCGCUCGAGGUGGAACCGGAGACCCGGACAACGAGAGAAGCCGGCAAACUCGCCAUCUCCUGGCCAUCACACCUCGCAGCGCCCCUCGACCUACGACACCUGGCAAGGCCCGGUGGCGAUGGGCCACCGCGGACGCGAUGAGGCAGAGAUUUAGCUCGGCAAUGCACGUGAAGUCACGGGCAAAGGUUACGAUGGAGGGAGGGGGGGGGGGUUUCCUGUCGAUUUCCUCGGUGACGCGGUUGUUUUUUGCAACGGUUUCAGUUGUUUUGGCUCUGAUGUCUAUUUGGUUGAUUUCACGCCAAUGUCUGUUUCCUCCAUUGUUAUACCUGAGUUCAUUAUUGUUAUUGCUUUUUUUUUACACAAAUUGCGCCGAUGCCCUAUUCUCCCCACCCCCCAACCUCCAAUAUGUGCAGAUACUACUGCCUCUAUUGUAUGUCGGGUGUGUAGGCAUAUAUACCUACAAAAUACAUUUAUUUUUGGUGGGGGGAAGGAUUGACAAUGUUUUGAAACCUGUUGGAUGAACUUUUUACCCCCACAUCUAGUGGGGAGGGGAGGGUGUGACCAUUUUCUAUAACAUUUUUGAUUCAGGCCUUCUGAAAGGCUCUUAUUAUUUAGUUGACGGACAAAUGGAACGCCGGGCUUUUAAAAUAAGAUGUUGGUAACGCAGCUCAGCCCCACUUGCUUAAUGAAGACCUCUAUCCUGGC
Molecule: long non-coding RNA, 949 nt
Organism: Petromyzon marinus (sea lamprey)
Lineage: Eukaryota; Metazoa; Chordata; Hyperoartia; Petromyzontiformes; Petromyzontidae
Source: RefSeq, a predicted model, not a curated record